CCGGAUCCCAUCCUGUGAUUCCUGGGUGGAAGUGGUGCCUCCGGAGAUGUGGCAGGAGCACAAGAUGUUUUACGACUCUGCUCUCCACAUGACGAACCAGCCCCGUCAGCUGCAGCACCUGGCGCGCUGCGCCGUGCGAAAGCACCUGGGAGCGCGGUGCCAUUCCACCAUCCCCAAACUCAACCUGCCCCCGGCUCUGCGGGCUUAUCUGCAGCUCCCUCUUGAGGGUUACAUCCGGUGAAAGAGAAGAUGCAUCCUUCAGGCGUGUUAUUUGGGGAAUGGCUUUGAAUUGCUGAUGGGUGACUGAGAUCCCAACAUACCAGGGCCCGUAAUACUCUGUCAGUUGAACAUGUCAAGUAGUAGCCCUGUGGGCUACUUAUCGAGUAAGUUGCUGCUCAGUGGAAGGGCAGUUGGCAGAAUCUAGCCCUUUCUGAACAUACUUUGAUAACAGGGCUCGGCUUGUGCCAGCACCAGUUUCUACCCCGCUCUACUGCAUAUAAUACGAGGACAAAGGAUGGUCAAUGAAAUUCAAAAGCAGGAUACUUAAAAGUGACACAGCAGAAUAUUCUUCCCCAGGCAGUACCUGUUUAGUCAGGGGAAAUCAUUGCCACAGGACAUCACUGAAGCCAAGAGCUGAGCAGGACUCAAAGGAAGGACUGGACAUUUAGCUAGAGAACAAGGAAAUGCUGAAUUAGAAUAGUAUAACCUUCUAAAAUACAAGAGUCUCUGUAUUUAAACCCUUUCUGCCUCAGGCCAUGAGCCAAAUGCUGACUAAUGGGGUUAGGAAGAAUGUCUCACUCUGACGGGAACAGGGAACAUUUCUUCCUCAUCCCCAGGGCAGGUUAUUCCACAGCAACCUUCUGCUGGGUUUUCUGCACCUUCCUCUGAAGCAGCUGAUACCGCCCCGUGUUGGACACGGGACGGGAUGAUCCCUGGUCUGAUUGAUGUCCCUGUGGGUUUUUCUGUUUUUAAACUCUAAGUACCAAGAACUGGGGUCAUAAACUCAAGGCUUGGGGAUGCUGGUGCCCUCCGUGGACCCAAAACGAUGCCCUGGCUACAAACAUGCCAGUAGCUGAAAAGCGCAAAACAUGAACGCCGAUCAAAUCUGCCACCACCUCUUGCAAUGCCUCUGGCUGAGGCCUGAUGCCCGCGGUGUGUCCCACUUCCAAACUGGAGUGCUCAUAAAUUCAGCAAAGAGUGUGGUGUAAAGAUCUAAAUGUAGGGUGACCAGAUAGCACCUGUGAAGAAACAGGGUGGGGGGUAAUAGGUGCCUAUAUAAGAAAGUCCCCAAAAAGAGGACUGUCCCUAUAAAAAUGGGACAUCUGGUCCUCCUAUCUAAAUGGACAGAGCCAGAGGAAGUGCCAGCCCAGAAGCCCAUCUUGUUCUGUGUCCAGGAAUGGCCAGGUCCAGCUCAUUCUGGAGGAGGGGUCAAGGAUACCCCCAGUGGCCAAUAUUGGAAUAACCUCCCUAUAGGAGAUGUUUCCUCCUGACCCCUCUGUUAGCUUAUGCCUUGAAGCAGGAGCAUUUAAAAAAAUAGCCAGCUCUCUUCAUCUGUAAAUCUCAAAGCGGUUACAAUGGCAGGUGUGCUUCAUUACCCUCUUUACACUGGGGAAACCAAGGCACAGGGCAGUGGAAGUGACUUGUCCUAGGUCACCCAGCAGGCCAGUGGUAGAGCUGAGAAUAGCUCCCUGAUCGUCAGUCCACUUCUCUAGCCACUAGACCACAUUGUAGCCCUUCCAAGGGAUUUUAAAAACAACCUUCUAAUGUAAUUCUGGAUGUUCUCAUUAUCUGGAUAGGUCCAGUCUCUUUACUUGAAUCCUGAUUAUGUAUUUUAAUCUCAUGAGCUCAAAAACUGCCUGCUGUUUGCAGUAAAAUAUUCUGUUCUGCUUCUGCACUUUACGGGCAGCCUGUGUUGUUAGUUUCCCCAUGUAAAAUAAAAAGCUACAGCAAAUAUAUUUCAAAACAAGCUUGUUUUAAAUUUUUUCCUGCGUUGCUGGGGGUUAGCGUGUGUAGUAAGUGAAGGCCCUGAUAAAGGCCCAGUAUGAGGCCUGAGGCCUGAACUAAAGUAAUGGGCAAGACUUUGCUAACAUAAAGCAAAGUGAAGCUGUGAGCCAGAGGCAGGCCCUGCUCACAGCAGCUGGCAAGGAAAGGGCUGAUGCUGCAAGAAGAUACGUACCUAAAAGGUACUGAACACUAGAGAUCAGAACAUUCACAUACUUGCACAUUCCACACAGAUAACAAGGAACAGACCGACCCAUCCCAAUGACAGGGGCAAAAGGGUAAUAUGAUGGAUAGAGUUGUUUUGAUCGAACCAACAUGUACAAGGUGAGAGGCGGCACUUGACUAUGUAGAGGGGUUGUACCUUACUACGUAGAGGGGCUGCACCUCAAUACGUCAGGAGUGAUGUGUAACUUGUUUGUACCUGUGUAUAAAAAUGUAUCCCUGGGGCGAUGUCUUUG
Molecule: long non-coding RNA, 2459 nt
Organism: Gopherus evgoodei (Goodes thornscrub tortoise)
Lineage: Eukaryota; Metazoa; Chordata; Testudines; Testudinidae
Source: Ensembl